UCAGGUACAAAUCAGAUACCAAAGUACUAAAUGAAUACAGUGAUCAGCCCUUAUACUGGAUAUACUGAAUGUAUAGUAAAUGUAUAGUGAUUGUCUGCUGAGUGUUUUCUACUUGCGUGAGCUGGAGGGUAGUAUCUCCCAAAAGAGAGACUAAAACCUUGUGUCUCGUCGUUUUAAUGCUGAGCAGGCAGCGCAGGCAGUGCCUGGCGUCUGUAUCCGUGUCCUUGCCUGUCUUCGUGCCCUCGUGCCAGAAAUCCAGGUAGCUCACUGAACACUGCUGGCAUUCGAUCUUUUAAU
Non-coding RNA from Pelobates cultripes (western spadefoot toad), 297 nucleotides. NCBI's taxonomy places the organism in Eukaryota, Metazoa, Chordata, Amphibia, Anura, Pelobatidae. The record is from the annotation of a GenBank genome assembly.